CUCUCACCUCAGCCUCCCGAGUAGCUGGGGCUACAGGCACGCCACCAUGCCUGGCUAGAGAUGUCCUUUUUAGGUGCUGGGCCUUAGACUCCUGAGUACUGCAUGGGAAUGCUUCCCAAGGUAGGUUUCAUGGUGAUCCACAAAGGAAGAGCUGUGUAUUCAUACGUAUGGGAAUGUCUGGCUGAGCAAGAAUAGGGCCAGCAGCAGAGCCUUUCAUAAGUGAGUCCAGGAAAGGAUGCUGUAGGUCAAUGUUUCACACUGGGGACGAUUUUGCCCUGACCUCCAAGGGACAUUUGACAAUGUCUAGAGACAAAUCUGGUUGUUAUAACUGAGGGUGGGUGGGUGCUACUGGCAUCUAGUGAGUAGACAGAGAUGCUGCCAAAACCCAACAGUGUACAGAGUAGCUAUGCACAAUAAAGAAGAAUCUGGCCCCCAGGAUGGAGAUGCAGCACCUGCCCUCAGCCACUAUGCACUGUGCCGAUACGCAGAGUGGGAAGAGAGGAUCUCAGCUUGGCAGAGCCCAGUAUUGGAUGACAGAUCACUGCCUGCCUGGUACAAAUCUGCGCUGUUCAAUGAACUAUACUUCCUGGCUGAUGGAGGCACAGUAUGGCUGGAAGUUCGUGAGGACUCCCUACCAGAGGAGCUAGGCAGAAACGUGUGUCACCUCUGCCCCACCCUACGGGACUACGGUCGAUUUGGCUACCUUGAGGGCCAGGAGUACCGCAUGUACAACACAUAUGAUGUCCACUUUUAUGCCUCCUUUGCUCUCAUCAUGCUCUGGCCCAAACUUGAGCUCAGCCUACAGUAUGACAUGGCUCUGGCCACUCUCAGGGAGGACCUGACACAGCGACGGUACCUGAUGAGUGUGGUGAUGGCACCUGUGAAAAGGAGGAACGUCAUCGCCCAUGAUAUUGGGGACCCAGAUGAUGAACCAUGGCUCCAGGUCAAUGCAUAUUUGAUCCACGAUACUGCUGACUGGAAGGACCUGAACCUGAAGUUUGUGCUGCAGGUUUAUCGGGACUAUUACCUGACGGGUGAUCAAAACUUCCUGAAGGACAUGUGGCCCGUGUGUCUAGCUGUGAUGGAGUCUGAAAUGAAGUUUGACAAGGACCAUGACGGACUCAUUGAAAAUGGAGGCUACGCAGACCAGACCUAUGAUGGAUGGGUGACCACAGGCCCCAGUGCUUACUGUGGAGGGCUGUGGCCGGCAGCUGUGGCUGUGAUGGUCCAGAUGGCUGCUCUGUGUGGGGCACAGGACAUUCAGGAUAAGUUUUCUUCCAUCCUCCACCGGGGCCAAGAAGCCUAUGAGAGACUGCUGUGGAAUGGCCGCUAUUACAACUAUGACAGCAGCUCUCAGCCUCAGUCUCGUAGUGUUAUGUCUGACCAGUGUGCUGGACAGUGGUUCCUGAAGGCCUGUGGCCUAGGAGAAGGGGAGACUGAGGUGUUUCCUACCCCACAUGUGGUCCGUGCUCUCCAAACUAUCUUUGAGCUGAACGUCCAGGCCUUUGCAGGAGGGGUCAUGGGGGCUGUGAAUGGGAUGCAGCCCCAUGGUGUCCCUGAUAAAUCCAGUGUGCAGUCUGAUGAAGUCUGGGUGGGUGUGGUCUACGGAUUGGCAGCUACCAUGAUCCAAGAGGGCCUGACUUGGGAGGGCUUCCAGACAGCUGAAGGCUGCUACCGUACCGUGUGGGAGCGCCUGGGUCUGGCCUUCCAGACCCCAGAGGCAUACUGCCAGCAGCGGGUGUUCCGCUCACUGGCCUACAUGCGGCCACUGAGCAUCUGGGCCAUGCAGCUAGCCCUGCAACAGCAGCAGCACAAAAAGGCCUCUAGGCCAAAAGUCGAACAGGGCACAGGACUAAGGAUAGGGUCUAUGUUUGGACCAAAGGAAGCCAUGGCAAACGUGAGCCCAGAGUGAACCGUCUGAACUGUGGGAGGAAAGCGCUAACAGCCCAGCCUCCAGCCUGGCCUUUCCUCCUUCUCCUCUGAACCACCUGCAACCCUGAGCCAUCAGGACAAUCAUACCCCUUCCCUUCUCCCCACCCAGCUGUGCCAGUAAAUGGGGGUUGAGGGUGACCUAGGCAGCAUUAGAAUCACUUAUUUCUUUCUUUCCUCACCCAUUCCCUCACUGCAUGAAAUGUUCAGGGAGGUCAGUUGAUUUCCCCAGGUACAUUCAUGGGGUGACAGACACAUGGGUACAAAUAAAAGACCCAGAAAGCCAAAAAAAAAAGAGAAGAAUCUGGCCCAAAGUGUUAGUGUGGUGGGGCUGAGUACACACACCACACUCAUACGUAUUCAUUGAGCUUGAGUGUCAAUGAAUAAUAAUAAUGAUAAUGGACACAUCAGUUUUAUUGAGUUGUCAAGUGUGUCAGGUGUUGUUCUAUGUGCCUCACAUGUAUUAAUCGUUUGAGGUGUCAUCACAAUCCUAUGAGGUUGGUAGUUGCUCCUAUUAUCCUGUAAUACAGAUGGGGAAAUCAGAGACCCAGAGACUCUGAGCGCCUUGCCCAUUGUGACACAGGUGCUAAGUGUUGGAGUUGGGAUUUGAACCCAAGUACCUUGAACUCACUCCAUCACUGCCUUAUGAAGAACAAAUGGCUCAUUCUCUUUCUUGGCCCUAUAUUUGUGCCAUUACUCAUUAGCUCAUGCAGAUGUUUGCUAAGUACCUGUUGGGUUCUAGGUGUUGGGGAUGCAGCUUCGAACAAGGAUGUCCAGUCCUUGCCUUCACCUGGAGAGGGGCGGAUGCUCAAUUCAUGCUUGCAUAAUUUGGUCUUUAUUCACGGCUGUGGGUAGUGCUAUGAAGAAGCUGAACACAGUGCUUUAGAGGUGCAUCAUCGGGGACCCACCACAGAGAGUGGCUUUGUCUUCGUAUAUUCAGAGGAAAAAGACUUUUCCUUCAGAAUGUAAGGAAAUUUCUUAGUUUCAGACAUGAUGCCUUGUGUGUAACUGCUUGUUCCAGCCAGGGCCUCCUGCCCGGGAGGGCUGGGAGAACUGUUGGUAGCUGUGUUCUCAGGAUUCUCCAGAGAAACAGAACCUACAGCGGGUGUGUGUGUGCAUGUGCGUGUGUGUAUA
Piliocolobus tephrosceles (Ugandan red Colobus) is the source of this 3063-nucleotide RNA transcript. It is a transcript of the gene named non-lysosomal glucosylceramidase pseudogene, with no coding region annotated. NCBI's taxonomy places the organism in Eukaryota, Metazoa, Chordata, Mammalia, Primates, Cercopithecidae. The record is from RefSeq and is a predicted model, not a curated record. The transcript has a single exon.